UACGGAGGGGGCUAGCGUUGUUCGGAAUUACUGGGCGUAAAGGGCGCGUAGGCGGCAAUUCAAGUCAUCUGUGAAAUCUCCGGGCUUAACUCGGAACUGUCAGAUGAUACUGCUUUGCUAGAGUGCAGAAGGGGCAAUCGGAAUUCUUGGUGUAGCGGUGAAAUGCGUAGAUAUCAAGAGGAACACCUGAGGUGAAGACGGGUUGCUGGGCUGACACUGACGCUGAGGCGCGAAAGCCAGGGGAGCAAACGGG
RNAcentral lists this ribosomal RNA (253 nucleotides) under uncultured bacterium. Its description in RNAcentral is "partial 16S ribosomal RNA". It matches the Rfam family "Bacterial small subunit ribosomal RNA", at positions 524 to 776 of the family's 1533-position model. The record is from RNAcentral.